Molecule: ribosomal RNA, 630 nt
Filed under: uncultured bacterium
Lineage: Bacteria
Description: bacterial SSU rRNA
Rfam family: Bacterial small subunit ribosomal RNA
Source: RNAcentral
CUGGGCGUAAGGGUGCGUAGGCGGAUAUUUAAGUCAGAUGUGAAAACCCCGGGCUUAACUUGGGGACUGCAUUUGAAACUGGAUAUCUAGAGUGCAGGAGAGGAAAGCGGAAUUCCUAGUGUAGCGGUGAAAUGCGUAGAGAUUAGGAAGAACACCAGUGGCGAAGGCGGCUUUCUGGACUGUAACUGACGCUGAGGCACGAAAGCGUGGGUAGCAAACAGGAUUAGAUACCCUGGUAGUCCACGCCGUAAACGAUGAGUACUAGGUGUAGGAGGUAUCGACCCCUUCUGUGCCGCAGUAAACACAAUAAGUACUCCGCCUGGGAAGUACGAUCGCAAGAUUAAAACUCAAAGGAAUUGACGGGGGCCCGCACAAGCAGCGGAGCAUGUGGUUUAAUUCGAAGCAACGCGAAGAACCUUACCUGGACUUGACAUCCCCUGAAUAACCUAGAGAUAGGCGAAGCCCUUCGGGGCAGGGAGACAGGUGGUGCAUGGUUGUCGUCAGCUCGUGUCGUGAGAUGUUAGGUUAAGUCCUGCAACGAGCGCAACCCCUAUUGUUAGUUGCUAACAUUAAGUUGAGCACUCUAAUAAGACUGCCCGGGUUAACCGGGAGGAAGGUGGGGAUGACGUC